Molecule: long non-coding RNA, 201 nt
Filed under: Gossypium barbadense (sea-island cotton)
Lineage: Eukaryota; Viridiplantae; Streptophyta; Magnoliopsida; Malvales; Malvaceae
Description: long non-coding RNA (GBAR_LNC011825)
Source: RNAcentral
UAUGUCUUCGUGAGGUUUUCACCUCCGCAUGGCCAUAGGGAAAUGUAUUCUCCUGAACUAAACUCAAUCCACAUGAGCCUAUAACGGGUGAGGGUUGAGGAAUCUGCUGGUUCAGGUACCAUUUCCUUAGAACUGAGCCACAUAUAGUGAACUCUAAAAGCCCACCCUAGAUAGAGCUAUGUUGAACCCCAGCGGUUACCC